RNAcentral lists this ribosomal RNA (838 nucleotides) under uncultured archaeon. RNAcentral's name for it is "bacterial SSU rRNA". It matches the Rfam family "Archaeal small subunit ribosomal RNA", at positions 21 to 859 of the family's 1478-position model. The record is from RNAcentral.
AGGUUACUGCUAUCGGUGUUCGCCUAAGCCAUGCGAGUCAUAUGUUCUUCGUGAACAUGGCGUACUGCUCAGUAACACGUGGAUAACCUGCCCUUGGGUCCGGCAUAACCCCGGGAAACUGGGAAUAAUUCCGGAUAACGCACAUAUGCUGGAAUGCUUUAUGCGUCAAAUGGAUUCGUCCGCCCAAGGAUGGGUCUGCGGCCUAUCAGGUAGUAGUGGGUGUAAUGUACCUACUAGCCUACUACGGGUACGGGUUGUGAGAACAAGAGCCCGGAGAUGGAUUCUGAGACAUGAAUCCAGGCCCUACGGGGCGCAGCAGGCGCGAAAACUUUACAAUGCGGGAAACCGUGAUAAGGGGACACCGAGUGCCAGCAUCAUAUGCUGGCUGUCCGGGUGUGUAAAAUACACCUGUUAGCAAGGGCCGGGCAAGACCGGUGCCAGCCGCCGCGGUAACACCGGCGGCCCGAGUGGGAUCGUGAUUAUUGGGUCUAAAGGGUCCGUAGCCGGUUUGGUCAGUCCUCCGGGAAAUCUGACGGCUUAACCGUUAGGCUUUCGGGGGAUACUGCCAGACUUGGAACCGGGAGAGGUAAGAGGUACUACAGGGGUAGGAGUGAAAUCUUGUAAUCCCUGUGGGACCACCUGUGGCGAAGGCGUCUUACCAGAACGGGUUCGACGGUGAGGGACGAAAGCUGGGGGCACGAACCGGACUAGAUACCCGGGUAGUCCCAGCCGUAAACGAUGCUCGCUAGGUGUCAGGCAUGGCGCGACCGUGUCUGGUGCCGCAGGGAAGCCGUGAAGCGAGCCACCUGGGAAGUACGGCCGCAAGGCUGAAACUUAA